CCAUGUAAUGAAGAAGAUCUUGCUCUUCUGGCAUUUGUCGACGGUGACGAAGUCGAAGUCGAAGACGGCAUAGCGGCAGUCGUCGGUGGGGAGGGAAGCGGCCAGGUCUUCAUAUCCCUCGCCAGGACCACCCACCUUGUCCACCAUCACAGCUCUGGACCCCUCGUCGAUCUUGUACACGAUGUAUCGGUGCACCUUUUUCCACUUCAUUUCCAUGAACGACCGCCGGCACUCCUCCUUUACGCUCAUCCCCUCCGUCGCCUGCCAUCACAACAACUAAAUUCAAAAGAAGAACACACAAAAGGAAUUGAAGAAGGUGGUCAUGUUGCUGAUGUUGAUAUUGCUAUUACCAUCUUGAAAGCCAUAGCCAUGGUUGCAGUAGGGGUGGUGGAGCUGCCGGUAUGUCCU
RNAcentral lists this long non-coding RNA (408 nucleotides) under Elaeis guineensis (African oil palm). Its description in RNAcentral is "long non-coding RNA (EGUI_LNC023930)". The record is from RNAcentral. Lineage: Eukaryota; Viridiplantae; Streptophyta; Magnoliopsida; Arecales; Arecaceae.